This 71-nucleotide transfer RNA is filed under the name Sorex araneus (European shrew). RNAcentral's name for it is "tRNA-Trp". The record is from RNAcentral. Lineage: Eukaryota; Metazoa; Chordata; Mammalia; Eulipotyphla; Soricidae.
UAUUCUUCUAGUAUAACCAAUACAACUGACUUCAAAUCAGCUAAUCUCAGUAUAAGUCUGAGGAAAAAUAA